AAGAGUAUAGCUUAAACCUAAAACGCCUCGCUUACACCGAACUAAUGCCUGUUAAACCCGGGCUACUCUUAAG
This 73-nucleotide transfer RNA is filed under the name Pristimantis bipunctatus. RNAcentral's name for it is "tRNA-Val". It matches the Rfam family "tRNA". Rfam says of the family: Transfer RNA (tRNA) molecules are approximately 80 nucleotides in length. Lineage: Eukaryota; Metazoa; Chordata; Amphibia; Anura; Strabomantidae. The record is from RNAcentral.